GCCCUUUUGGUGGAAUUUGGUAGACACUCUGGAUUUAGGCUCCAGUACGAAAUAAUAGUAGUGUAAGAGUUCGAGUCUCUUAGAGGGCAC
This 90-nucleotide transfer RNA is filed under the name uncultured phage cr151_1. RNAcentral describes it as "tRNA-Leu". It matches the Rfam family "tRNA". Rfam says of the family: Transfer RNA (tRNA) molecules are approximately 80 nucleotides in length. Their secondary structure includes four short double-helical elements and three loops (D, anti-codon, and T loops). Lineage: Duplodnaviria; Heunggongvirae; Uroviricota; Caudoviricetes; Crassvirales; Steigviridae. The record is from RNAcentral.